RNAcentral lists this long non-coding RNA (1463 nucleotides) under Mustela putorius furo (domestic ferret). RNAcentral describes it as "lncRNA (ENSMPUG00000024910.1)". The record is from RNAcentral. Lineage: Eukaryota; Metazoa; Chordata; Mammalia; Carnivora; Mustelidae.
AGAAACAAUGUUCAGCCCAGUAGCAAUGAGCUCCUAGCCCCAGAUUAUGGUCUUUUUAUACUAUUUUCUAGGAAGAGAAACCAGUGCUUUGUGGAAAAAUGGAGGAUUCAAGGCUGAGGCAGGAUGAGUUUGGACUAUUAUUAUCCUAGAAGGCUACAAGAGUUCUGUCAGAAGGACUCAGGAGCUUAUCUGAAGAGCUUCCUGCUGGCUAAAGAAGGGACAGCAAAAGACUUGAGGGGCAUAACAGCCUGUAAUGGAAACUGAAACUACUCUUUAAGCAGUAUCAACCACCUGGACCAGGAGCUCUGGUAACCCAGACCACCCAGACCAGUUUGACUUUCACCCCGACUCACACCUGUGGAGAUGAACCAUCCAGGACCACGGAGUGACCAACAGUCCCUUACCUCAUUAUAAUACUAAAAUCUCCGCCCAAGGAGGAGCACAGCCUCACUUACAUAACAUAGUUACAGUGUCUGUGUAUUUCCUUGAAGGCACCUGUCCCUGCCUUUACAUAUAAUGACAAGACUCCCCUUUUUAAAUAUUCAUCCUAACCCUAAAUAAAAGGAGGCCAUGCUCUAGGAGUCAGAGCUUGGAGGUCAUUCCCUGUGAUCUCCAAGUAAGUUUACUUUGUGUGACAAUUCCUCCUUGGGUAGUUUCUACGUGUGACUCACCAAGGUCCAAACUCACCGUUUGGUUACAACUUGAUUUUUGUUAAGUUAUGAUACACCUAUAUGAAUCCCUGUUUCACACUUUUUUUCUUUUUGAUAGUGCGUUUUUAAUUAUAAAAAUUAUUCAUGUUCAUGGAAAAUGAGUAUACGCAACACGAUAAAGGGGGGAGCUCUCAGAAUUCUCCUACAGAGGGGUAAAUACUGGAAGUUUGGUGGGAAACUUUCAAUAUUUUUUCUUUGCCUACAUGUGAAUAUAUAAUUGUGUUAAUAUUAGAAUCAUAACAUAUAUACCUUUACUUGCUUAAAUUGUAAAUAUUUUAAUUCAACUUUUUAUUGACUGUCUUAAAGAUGUACUAUAAUUUAUUUUAUUAAUUGGCUAUUCUUUCACAUAUUAUAAAUAUAUACAUACAUUUAAGACUUUUGCCUAUUUUUCUAAAUCACCUUCUUCAAAUUUUCAUCCAUAACUCAUAUAUAAGUAGUAUUAAGAAAUGCCUAUUGCUGCAUACUAUCAUCCUUUAAAGAAUGUAUGCCUUUCUGAUAGAUAAAAAUGACUAUCUUUGGUUGCUAUAAUUUGCUUUCCAUUGAUUAAUAGUAACAUUAGGGGCGCCUGGGUGGCUCAGUGGGUUAGGCCUCUGCCUUCGGCUCAGGUCAUGAUCCCAGGGGCCUGGGAUCGAGUCCCACAUGGGGCUCUCUGCUCAGCAGGGAGCCUGCUUCUCCACACCCCCUCUGCCUCUCUGCCUACUUGUGAUCUGUCAAAUAAAUAAAUAAAAUAAAAUAAAAUAAAAAAUAGUAACA